CGGACCGGCGCACGGGUGAGUAACACGUAUGAAACCUGCCCGUAGCAGGGGGAUAAGCGGAAGAAAUUCCGUCUAAUACCGCGUAACAACCCAUGGAGGCAUCUCUGUGGGUUUAAAGGAAGCGAUUCCGGCUACGGAUGGUCAUGCGUCGCAUUAGCUUGUUGGCGGGGUAACGGCCCACCAAGGCGACGAUGCGUAGGGGUUCUGAGAGGAAGGUCCCCCACACUGGUACUGAGACACGGACCAGACUCCUACGGGAGGCAGCAG
Molecule: ribosomal RNA, 267 nt
Filed under: uncultured bacterium
Lineage: Bacteria
Description: partial 16S ribosomal RNA
Rfam family: Bacterial small subunit ribosomal RNA
Source: RNAcentral